GACGAACGCUGGCGGCGUGCUUAACACAUGCAAGUCGAGCGGUAGGGCCCUUUCGGGGGUACACGAGCGGCGAACGGGUGAGUAACACGUGGGUGACCUGCCCUCAGCUCUGGGAUAAGCCUGGGAAACUGGGUCUAAUACUGGAUAUGACUCCACGGUGCAUGUCGUGGGGUGGAAAGCCUUGUGCGGCUGAGGAUGGGCCCGCGGCCUAUCAGCUUGUUGGUGGGGUGANGGCCUACCAAGGCGACGACGGGUAGCCGGCCUGAGAGGGCGACCGGCCACACUGGGACUGAGAUACGGCCCAGACUCCUACGGGAGGCAGCAGUGGGGAAUAUUGGACAAUGGGCGAAAGCCUGAUCCAGCGACGCCGCGUGGGUGAAGAAGGCCUGCGGGUUGUAAAGCCCUUUCGGUGGGGAAGAAAAGCCUCGAGUUAACACCUCGGGGUCUUGACGUAACCCAUUAAAGAAGCACCGGCUAACUCUGUGCCAGCAGCCGCGGUAAC
Molecule: ribosomal RNA, 502 nt
Filed under: uncultured bacterium
Lineage: Bacteria
Description: bacterial SSU rRNA
Rfam family: Bacterial small subunit ribosomal RNA
Source: RNAcentral